This 527-nucleotide ribosomal RNA is filed under the name Lophoglutus sp. BFS-2018. RNAcentral describes it as "partial 16S large subunit ribosomal RNA". The stretch from base 393 to 527 matches the Rfam family "Archaeal large subunit ribosomal RNA", at positions 2544 to 2678 of the family's 2987-position model. The record is from RNAcentral. Lineage: Eukaryota; Metazoa; Arthropoda; Insecta; Hymenoptera; Ichneumonidae.
AACAUGUCUUUAAGAAUAUAAUUUUAAGUCUGAUCUGCUCCAUGAAUAUUUAAAUAGCUGCAGAAUUUUAACUGUACAAAGGUAGCAUAAUCAAUAGUUUUUUAAUUGAAAGCUGGAAUGAACGAUUUGAUAAGGUAAAUUUUGUCUCAAUUUUAAUAGAAUUAAAAUUUUUUUUUUAGUAAAAAUACUGAAGAAAAUUUAAAAGACGAGAAGACCCUAUAGAUUUUAAUAUUUAGUAUUAAAUAAAUUUAAAAUUAAUAAUAAAUUUUAAUAUAAAAAUAUUUGGUUGGGGAAAUUAUUAAAUUAAGAAAAUUUUAAAUUAUUAUAACCAAAAAUUAUUGAAUUUUUGAUCUUAUUGAUAUUAAUAAAUUAAAAGAAUAAAAUACCUUAGGGAUAACAGCGUAAUAUUUUUGGAGAGAUCUAAUUGAUAAAAAAGAUUGCGACCUCGAUGUUGAAUUAAGAUAAAAUUUUAAUGGAGAAGUUAAAAAUUUUUGGUCUGUUCGACCAUUAAAAUCUUACGUGAUCUG